This 655-nucleotide long non-coding RNA is filed under the name Pogona vitticeps (central bearded dragon). Its description in RNAcentral is "lncRNA (ENSPVIG00000009997.1)". Lineage: Eukaryota; Metazoa; Chordata; Lepidosauria; Squamata; Agamidae. The record is from RNAcentral.
AAAAAGGAGCUAAAACAGAGAUGAUUGUUCCUGCCCUUGGAAAGUAGAAAGUGAUGGAUAUUUUGAUCGGGCGCCCUGACGAAUGGCCUUUUUUCUGAACAAAUCCUUUCCAAGGGGACGAAAACUUGAGGAGAAAUUACUCUCUGUGCCUGAGGUCUGAUUAAUCUCUAACAUCAUUUCAUUAUUGAUGGGUAAGUCAUGCUGAGUGCGGUUAUCUGAUGUCACAAUUAUUAUUAAUACCGAAAAAGUUCAGACACCAUAACGUGAUAGCAAAAUCUUCAUAUUUUGCUGAUUAACCAUUGAAUAUUUUAAGAGUGAGUGUGGGUGUUGUUCAUUUUAUGUUCCCAGGAAGGUUCUGGCUCCAGGUCUCAUAUUCAACAAUGCACGUUUGAACAAGGAGAGGCGCUUGGUAGAAAGAAUGCUGUUACUAGAAGAUAGAUCGUACCCUUGGCCAAGUAGAACACCAUCCCCAACAGAUCUCAAGUGGCCAGGGAGAAGUAGUCAACAAAAUCAAAAUAAAUGAGAGAUAAAACCGCCCAGCCCCUCAGAUGUCAGCGCCGAGCCUUGAAGGAGCUUCCUGAAUUGGGCCACUGUGUGCCAAAAAUCUGAGAAUGUCUUGUUCCCUUUAAAUAAAUCAAAACAUAAAACAAAGGCA